Molecule: transfer RNA, 85 nt
Filed under: Candidatus Wolfebacteria bacterium RIFCSPLOWO2_01_FULL_47_17b
Lineage: Bacteria; Candidatus Wolfeibacteriota
Description: tRNA-Leu
Rfam family: tRNA
About the family: Transfer RNA (tRNA) molecules are approximately 80 nucleotides in length. Their secondary structure includes four short double-helical elements and three loops (D, anti-codon, and T loops).
Source: RNAcentral
GCUGGGGUGGCGAAAUUGGUAGACGUACCAGACUUAGGAUCUGGCGCCGAAAGGCAUGGGAGUUCGAGUCUCCCCCCCAGCACAA